RNAcentral lists this long non-coding RNA (298 nucleotides) under Chloebia gouldiae (Gouldian finch). RNAcentral describes it as "Erythrura gouldiae (Gouldian finch) lncRNA (ENSEGOG00005006355.1)". The record is from RNAcentral. Lineage: Eukaryota; Metazoa; Chordata; Aves; Passeriformes; Passeridae.
UUUAUUUGGAGUUUCAUACCUAACAGAAAGGCAGCUUUCCCUCAGAUCUCCAAGAAGGAUUCUGUCUAUGCCCGGAGAUGGAGAACAAGAGGGAUUGAGAGUGUACAGAAAAGGAGGAAGGUCGUGCCAAAAGGGGAGGAAGUUUUUUACCCUGUCAAAGCAGGCGGAACAGAGCGGUUGCUGGUGUACAGCAGCUCAGAGCCAGCUUGAACCAGCUGCUCCAGGCUGUCACCUCACUGCUUUAAAUAUGUCAGUGUGCUUCAGGGGGAUUUUCUCAAGAAAAGGAGCCUUUGUGAGC